GGCUCCAUAGCUCAGUUGGUUAGAGCGCCAGUCUAGUAAACUGGAGGUCGCGAGUUCAACUCUCGCUGGAGCCU
Non-coding RNA from Trichuris suis (pig whipworm), 74 nucleotides. NCBI's taxonomy places the organism in Eukaryota, Metazoa, Nematoda, Enoplea, Trichinellida, Trichuridae. The record is from Rfam.